Molecule: ribosomal RNA, 468 nt
Filed under: uncultured bacterium
Lineage: Bacteria
Description: partial 16S ribosomal RNA
Rfam family: Bacterial small subunit ribosomal RNA
Source: RNAcentral
GACGAACGCUGGCGGCGUGCUUAGCACAUGCAAGUCGAUCGGAAAGGCCCUGCUUUUGUGGGGUGCUCGAGUGGCGAACGGGUGAGUAACACGUGAGUAACCUGCCCUUGACUUUGGGAUAACUUCAGGAAACUGGGGCUAAUACCGGAUAGGAGCUCCUGCUGCAUGGUGGGGGUUGGAAAGUUUCGGCGGUUGGGGAUGGACUCGCGGCUUAUCAGCUUGUUGGUGGGGUAGUGGCUUACCAAGGCUUUGACGGGUAGCCGGCCUGAGAGGGUGACCGGCCACAUUGGGACUGAGAUACGGCCCAGACUCCUACGGGAGGCAGCAGUGGGGAAUAUUGCACAAUGGGCGGAAGCCUGAUGCAGCAACGCCGCGUGCGGGAUGACGGCCUUCGGGUUGUAAACCGCUUUCGCCUGUGACGAAGCGUGAGUGACGGUAAUGGGUAAAGAAGCACCGGCUAACUACGUG